GACGUAGGGCGCGAGCGUUGUCCGGAUUUAUUGGGCGUAAAGAGCUCGUAGGCGGUUCGUCACGUCGGCUGUGAAAUCCCGAGGCUCAACCUCGGGUCUGCAGUCGAUACGAGCAAACUAGAGUGUUGCAGGGGAGACUGGAAUUCCUGGUGUAGCGGUGAAAUGCGCAGAUAUCAGGAGGAACACCGGUGGCGAAGGCGGGUCUCUGGGCAACAACUGACGCUGAGGAGCGAAAGCGUGGGGAGCGAACAGG
This 253-nucleotide ribosomal RNA is filed under the name uncultured bacterium. RNAcentral describes it as "partial 16S ribosomal RNA". It matches the Rfam family "Bacterial small subunit ribosomal RNA", at positions 524 to 776 of the family's 1533-position model. The record is from RNAcentral.